Molecule: long non-coding RNA, 24332 nt
Organism: Mirounga angustirostris (Northern elephant seal)
Lineage: Eukaryota; Metazoa; Chordata; Mammalia; Carnivora; Phocidae
Exons: 2
Source: RefSeq, a predicted model, not a curated record
UCUCGUCGGGGCUGGGGGCGCCGGAGGGGCAGCCCAAUCGUGUCCCCAACCCGGGGGCGCGAGUCUGCCUGGGUCACCUGCGGGACGGGGGCUCCGGAACACGCGAAGGUGCGCGGUCCCGGCCCCUCUGCGGCGGCUCCCAGCCCUGCUGGCUCCCGGAGCCGCGCGGGGUUUAAAUGGCUCCUGUUCCGGGUCCCCUCCCUUCCCCCCUUCGAGAAGGGGCCUGGCUCGGUCCCCUGUCACUCCAGGCUUCGCCAGCGGCGGCCUGCACCUGUGGGGCUGGCUGCCCAGGGGUUGGGGAGGAACAGCCCCACGUGCCAGGGGGUGGACAGAACUGCCCCACCUGUAUUUGUCACCGUAAGGCCUUUGGUUCUGCACCCCUUGAACCCGUACCCCUUAUCACUAGGAAACUCAGACGUGCAGCUGUCGCCCGCCCAGCUUCUCGAUUCCCAUCAGCCCAUCAAUAUUUACUGACUUUCGGCUUCCAGCUCUAGAUCCGUGGCGCUCUGGGACCUGCAGACACGUACCGAAACUUUCAGUGUCCUUUUUCAAAGUGGGAUUUGAGCUCCAAUAAGUUUCUAACGUGUCUCAUCAGGAAUGUGUUUUGCGUUAAGUGUGUGUGGUAAGGGAAGGUGGGUGCUUUCACACUUGGAAUUCUCUUGUCUCUAAACAGCAAUCGAUCUUGAAAUUGAUCAGCUGAACUUGGAUAGACCUGUGAAAACACAAAACAACAAAUCUAUCACCCUGUUUUCUUCUGGUUAAAAGUGGCCGUUUCUGUGGGGAGGGUUGGGUUAGGCUUUUCCAGGGGACAAAGUUCCCUUUAAAAUGUAAAAAUUCUUGGCGACUACAAGAGUUUGAAGGUGACUUGCUGGGUUUUUUCCUACUUUCCUGCCUCACCACAGCAGGAAGGUAUAAGGUCACUCCUAAGCCAACCCACCCGUGAUGAAUAUGGGAAGUGGUGUGGCUUUGUUGUCCAAGAUAGCAAAUGAGGCACCAAACUUCUCUGUUCUGUAUUUUCUCUCAUUUUUGUAUUCACAAAACCAGAAACUCUGAGGGGAGGCUUGUUUAGAUAGGCACUGAAUUUAUGUUCAACUGGGGAAGGAGGCUGUUGUUGUUAUAAAUUUAAUGUGUAACCCAUUAACGAACUGGGUUCUUUGAAAAGAUGGUGAGCAAAGUGUAUGCAGCUUGCCCAGCAAGGGUAUUUUCCUGCAUAUAUGCGUACAAAAGCGUGUUAACCCUAUGCCUUUUUAAUAAAGGUUUUACAGGGCAUUUCUGAUGGUAAAAGUUUAAAAGAUAGCAGGUAAAUUACUAACACCCUUAGCAUUUCAUGUAUUUUUUUAAAAAAGAGGUGUACACACAAGUCAACGCAUCUUCCUCAGACUUGUUAUUAUAAUUGAAGGAGUAAGUUGCAAAACAUUGGUUAAGGUGAAAUGUUGCCUUUUGGCUUUACACAGUGUAAGAGAGUUGGAGGUCAUUUUAAACUCAAAUUCAGGUGUUUAACCAGAAGCUGGAGAAGGGGAUCCCCGAGCACCUCCUCCUUUCUGUGGGUACUCCAGGUUCUAAAAAUCCUGGUGUAUUCUUAGUGGCCUUCUGUUCUCUCUGUCCAAGAGGCCCCGGUCUAGACUGUGGGAGGUGGGCAGUAAAACCCAGGAAAUACACACCAGGGCCUUUUUGGGGCAUGUGAGGCCCUUUGCUCCUGAUUUGGCCUGCUGGUUAGCUUGCACAGUACUUGCUAAGGUGUUUUUGGUCUGUUUUGUUUUGUUUUUCUUUUGAAAGUUUUUGUGGGUAGGUAAGUACCAGUGUACGUACUCCGCCUUUCCAGAUGCUGUUUCAGGAUUUUGCAGGAAUAAAAAUGUUUGGGGUUCUUCUCUGAGAGGCCCAUACAUCCCUCCCUUAAGCUGCUGCUUAGUUUUUUUUUUUUUUUUCCUAAGAUUUUAUUUAUUUAUUUGAGAGAGAGAGAAUGAGAGACAGAGAGCCGAGAGGGAGGAGGGUCAGAGGGAGAAGCAGACUCCCCGCCGAGCAGGGAGCCCGAUGCGGGACUCGAUCCUGGGACUCCAGGAUCAUGACCUGAGCCGAAGGCAGCCGCCCAACCAACUGAGCCACCCAGGCGCCCCAAACUGCUGCUUAGUUUUUAUAGAUACUGCAGUGUGACUGGAAAUUGGUGGUUUCUUUACUUAGGAUAGAAAGAAUUCAGGAGAGGGGCGCCUGGGUGGCUCAGUCUGUUAAGCGUCUGCCUUCUGCUCAGGUCAUGAUCCCAGGGUCCUGGCAUCGGGCUCCGUGCUCCGCGGGGAACCUGCCUCUCCCUCUCCCUCUCCUUCUCCCCACCCCCACUCAUGCUCUUUCUCUCUCUCUCUCUCAAAUAAAUAAAUAAAAUCUUUAAGAAAAGAAAGGAUUCAGGAGAGUUUGGGACUUCCGUACUGAGUUUCCAGGUACACUUGUAAACACACACAGAGGUGCACGCUUGCGCACGUAUUGUGUAUUUUUAACUACGUGCUGCAUGGUACUGGCACUAUUUCACAUGCCUGUCUUUUCUCUUGGAUUAAGUCAUCAAUUAUGCUUGCUUACACUCCAACAGCUGGUAAUUAACUGUCACAUUAUUAGAAAAGGAUGAAGGAAAGUGUGUCCAUUUAGAACCACUUAAAGAGUGGCAAUACACUGUUGUGGUGGAGCUGGGAAAAAUUGUUGCACCUGCAGAAUUUGGAUUAAUCCAAGUUUUGACUCUGCCUCAGUAGCUACUGAAAAAUAUUUGGGGCUCAUUGUAACAACUGUUGUUAUUUGGGGCCCAAAUUAUAAUUGUUCUAAUAGGGCUUUUUUUUUUCUUUUAAAAAAACUUGUAAUUAAAUAUUUUACAUAUAAGACUCCUGGGGUAUUAUACAAUUCAUUUUCUAUUUAACAGAAUUUGAUGUGGGGGUAGCUUGGACAAGUGUAAGGUGACACACUCUUUUUAUGAUAAUAGGGGUCUGAUUUGGAAGCCUCAUAGGAGUGCACAUUUUAGAACUGUAAGGAAUGCAAAGAACAAGGCUGGUUGAAUCUGUGAUCUUCAGAUCAGGAAAUUUUAUCAGCCCGUUUUAUAAAUGCAACAGCUAAGGCAAAGGGAAGUUAAAUGGCGUGCCCUGGGGUCACAAAGCUGGCAGGUCAUGAGAAGGCCCCCAAGGACCAGCUCUUGAUCCCAAAUGUCCCCACUAACCCCUCUACUCAGUUCGCCUGGAAACACGUGCAGUGUUCUAUGAAAUAACUUUGUCACAUCCAUCAGAUGAGGAUUUUUCAACUUCGGCACUACUGAUAUGCUGGUCCGCAUCACUCUCUGGUGGGGGCUGUCGUGGGCUAUGUAGGAUGUUCAGAAGCAUUCCUGGGCCCCCCUCACUCACUUGAUGCCAGGGGUACCCCCACUCCAGCUGUGACAGCCAACAAAAGUCUCCAGACUGUCAGAUGUUACCUGUGGGCCAGAUUGCCCUUGUUUGAUGAACAGUGUCAGCACCUUAGUUUUUAAAAGGAUUUUGGCUUUUAAAGCUCAAGUUAAUUUUUCUUUGUGAGGACACUGGCCUUUUGGAAGGCUUUUCCUGAAGGGCUGUUUUCUUCCCAAGUGCUGACCCUGAUAAUAGGCUUUAUUUACAUAGUAAAACUCAAACAAAUACUUGCUUCAUCUGCAUUUUUGUAGCCCGAGAAAGGAAAUGAAGCUGGAACUCCUGAGUGCUGUUUUAUGAGCCUUCAGUGGGGCUGCUGGUAGGCUCCACGCUGGCUCAGCAUAGAGCCCAAAGCGGGGCUUGAACUCACGACCCUGAGAUCGUGACCUGAGCUGAGAUCAAGAGUCAGACGCUUAACCGACUGAGCCACCCAGGCGCCCCUAGAUGUCCUGAACCUUGAAUGAAAGUUUGGGAAGGAAACAUCUGGACUUGGAAAGAUAGGCUGCUGCUCCAGUCAUAUUUACUUUGUGUCAGUAUAACCACAAGAUGUCACAGCUGAUGCCCUCUAGGGCUUAUGAGGUUGUUGGGGGAGGGGUGCUAUUUCCAUCCUCCUUCCCCAUCUUCAGCGAUGGUGUUUAGGAGAAAGGAGUCACAGCCUGAUACCACACGGAUACAUGCUCCAUUCUCUGCUCGUGUCUGAGGAUGCUCCGUCUUGUGCCCGGGGAACUUGGUCAGCUUUUCCAGAGUUCAGUCCUGAGCAUUGCCAUGGCUGCAGGUGCCGUCUGCCUAAGGUGUCUUAUUCACGAGAAAGCGCUUUGUCUGCCUUUCUUUCUGACCCCUGUGCAAACAGCCUUGACUAGCUCUUACCCCUUGCCGUCUGCCGCAGUGUGGUUUCUCUGGAAGGUCCUUCCCUCUGUCUCCUCUCUCGUCUGGGUGCUGGCAAGUGCUUCCCUGACAGCCGGUGCGUGCAGAUGCCUCUCCCAGGUGCAGUGCAGUCGCCCUUCAUGCUUGCCCUCCCUCCACGGCCAGCUGAUCACCAUGUCCUUUGGAGCCUGAAUGCCUUGUAUUUGUUGCUCCCUUUUCAUCCCCGGUGUCACUGCUUCCGAUAUUGGGUCAGAUUCUGGAUCUUGCAUGCAUCAGACUCUUCUGGAACUCCAGCAGUGGAUGUGCCAACAUGCUAAGUCGUGUCUCAGGUUCUUGCUGGAAGGGCCCCGGUAGCUCCUCGUAUUACACCUUAGCUAGGUGUACAAGGUUCUUUACCUCUUGGCACCUGCCUGUUCCCCAGCCUCAUCUUCUGCUGGCCUCCGUCCUGCCUUCACCUUUAGCCUGCACUGCCCCAGGUGCUAGCCACUUGUCAUAUGUAGCUCUUGAGCACUUGAAAUGUGGCUAGGCCAAACUGACACGGACUGUGAGUUAAAAUACACACUGGAUUUUAGAUUUAGUCUGGUCAGAAAAAAACAAAACAAAACAUAAAAUAGCUCAUUAAUAAUUCCUUUAUAUUGUAUACCUGUUGAAAUGAUCAUAGUUUAGCUCCACUUGGUUAAAUAAGUUAAAUGUAUUAUUAUUUUCUUAAAUUUAUAUAAUUGAGAGAAAGAGAGAGAGCAUGAGGAGGCAGAGGGAGAGGGAGAAGCAGACUCGCCACUGAGCGGGGAGCCUGACGUGGGGCUCCAUCCCAGGACGCCGAGAUCAUGACCUAAACCGAAGGCAGACGCUUCACCGACUGAGCCACCCAGGCGCCCCAAGUUAAAUAUAUUAUUAAAAUAAACUUUACGUAUUUCUUUGCUUUCUAAAAUGCAGCUCCUUCAAAAGUAGAAGUUAUAUCUGUGGCUCUCAUGUUUCUCUUGGACAGCUCUGCUUUGGACUCUUGUUAGGCAAAGCAUGGUCCUUGGAGUGGCCAUAGCAGCAUCCCCGGGGAGCUUGUGAGAACUGCAGACUCUCAAGCCCUACCCCAGACCUGCGGAAUUAGAGUCUGCAUUUUAACACGGUCUGCAGAUGAUUCAGAGCCAUGGUCCAGAUUGCCAUAGAGUGCUUUGGAGAGCUGUUAGCUGGUCCCCAACGUCCUGUGUUGUUUGAGGCUUUGCCAGGGUUUUCCCUUGCUUUCCCUGAGGUAAUUGUGGUUGCACGGAAGGCUUUGCUCAUAUGGCCCCUCCCAGGCAAAGCGACCCCUGUGUAAUCCUCCACACCAGGCACAGUAUGUCCACGGGACCCUUCGUGGCCCUGGGUAAUCAAGGACCUUGCAGCAUUCUUGAGCCCAGUCGGCUGGGACCUCCCUGAGAUUGGAGACUGGCUGCCCCUCGUUCCGAGUACCCCAGUCCAUUGGCUCACACGUUCUAAAAAGGCACCAGUUAAGAAUUGGUGCCUGUAACAGGGCCAGCAUCAUGCUGCUGCUUUGCUCCUGGUGUGGGCCUUAGGGGUGAAGGUCAGAGUACACCCAGGACCAAACAGGUCACGCAGGGCACCGUUUCCAUGAGCCAGAGCCACGGGGCCUGUGGGGAGGCUGCAGGUCUGGGGAGAUGAUAAGGAGGGGACCGUCAGUGUUUCUAAAGAACAGGACCAGGCAUGUCGUAAAGGCGCUAGAGAAUGAUGCCGCCUUGGCCUCCUCACAGCGUGGUGUAACUCGGAUCGAGGCCUCUGCAGAGGACAGAGCCGGAAUACAGAACUGGGUGGGUACUGGCCUCAAGCAUAAAGGACAUGCCCCGACCCCACCAGGAGGUAAAAGCAGGUGAAUCACAAGGGUUACGUUAGAAUCCUGAGCUGACGGUGACCUGUUCUCUCCUCUCUUCCAGAUUGCUUAUGACAUGGUGGGUGCUGCUUUGUCCUGAAGGGCAUGCCCACACGUUUAAAGGAAGCCCUGCCCUGAGUUUCCUUCCCCUGCCCUCCUGGGCUGCAUUUCCCUAUCUUAACUGCUGCUGAGUCCCUUUGCAAGCAGACCUCACUGUCACCAGGAGGUCAGGGAGGGGGUGGCCCAGCAAGUGCAGACGAGGCAGGAGACCAGUGUGGGUGACAGGAGUACCUGAGCACUUGUAACCCCUCCCGGCUGACCUGAAUGAGCCCAGGCCUUACGUCUCGGGAAGGGUUGUCCCAUGGACUCACGUAGUGGCCACAGACUGACUUGAGCUGAAAUCAAGAGUUGGAUGGACACUUAACUGACUGAGCCACCCAGGCACCCCUAGAUGUUACAAUUUUUAAAAAAGCUUCAGAUGAAUAGUUUUGGAAACUCAUGACAGGCUUUUGUCUUGAUGACACGAGAUGGGAUGUGAACCCUGCUGUGACAAACACGGUCUUACCUGGGCCCUUAGGACACCCCAGACACAAUGUGCACAGGUUCCCGGCGUCCUCUCUGUCCUGAGGAUUGCAGCUAACACUUCUAAAGCCUUUCUGUGGGCUCUCACUGUUCGCUGUGUGAGCGUGAGCAUGGAGAAUCUCUAACAACCCUGUGAAGUAGACAGCUGAGGGUGGAGACGUGCCUAAAGGGAGGACUGCACCCACAGCGCCCGCAGCUGUGUGGGUAGCCCCUACCUGGGCGUGCCGCACGCGGCAGGGCCAUCCUCAAGGGAGAGGGAAGCUGUAGCCCGAGUGCCAAGUGCUCGGCAGGUGCACACAGACCUUCUUGGAAGGAGAACAUCGUCCCUCCUUCAUGGCGCCAUGCCCAGCUCCAUUCUUCUGUGGCAUCAGGAGAGGAUGCCCUUUGCGUUACUGCUGGGGUGAUUCUGGUGUGUAGACACCCAGCAGGGUCACUCCAUGGCCAAGGGCAGUAACAGAUCAGUUAACAAAAAUGAAAACCUCCAUUCUUGAACCCAGACUGUAGGGGAAUCCCUCAAUAAACUUAACCUCCAGGGUUGGGGCAUCGAUACUAUCUUCCUAUAGCAUUGUAGGGUUUAGAAAGUUUUCUCUUAAAUAUUUUAUUUCACUUUUUACCCUUGUUUUGUCACGAGCCUCCCUGAAGGUUUGGGCAGGGCUGUGUGUGCUCACAGGUGAGAGAGCAAGGCCCAAAGCAUCCUGCUGCCCACACGUUAGCUGGUCAGGAGAACCACGGCUCCAGCCUGGCUGGGCCUUUGACCACAAAACUGAAUAGCUCUUUUCUGUGUGACUUUUUCUUUUUCUUUUAGAUUUAUUUAUUUGAGAGAGUGAGAGUGAGCACACAUGAAAGGGGGCAGAGGGAGCUGGAGAGAGAAUCCCAAGCAGACUCAUGACCUGAGCCAAAACGAAGAGUCAGACCCUUAACCAACUGAGCCAGCCAGGUGUCCCUCUCUGUGUGACUUUAAAAAAAAAACAAACGACUUUUUUGAGAUUUUUUUUAAAAAGACUUAUUUAUUUGAGAGAGAGAGUGCAUGUGCGUACAAGUGCAGGGCGGGGGUGCGGGGGUGUGGAGCAGAGGGAAAAGGAGAGAGAGAGAAUCUCAAGCAGACUCCCCGCUGAACCUGACCCUGAGAUCAUGACCUGAGCCCAAAUGGAGAGUCUGAUGUGUGUCUCCCCCGCCCACCCCACUUCUGCCCUCUUGCACUUGCUCUCUCUCUCUCUCUCUCUCAAAUACAAUCUUAAAAAAGAGUCAGGGGGAUAAAAAGCCAGGCACAUAACCCACUGAGCCACCCAGGCAUCCUGAGAUUAAUUUUUAAAGUGUAAGAAUCCUCAUGAUUUUAUAAAAUUACAUGCCCCCCAUUCUCUGAAACCCAUAUAAAAUACUGUAAGUCUCAACUUGGCAAUAGACCUGUUCAUGAUAUUUCUAGUAUUUAGAUCUUCCUCCGUAAACUAGAGAUUCGCAAACUUUUUCUGCACAGGGCCAGAGUAAAUAUUUUUGAUUUUGUGGCCGAAAGUGCUACUUUCUGCAGUUAGAGCAUGAAAACAGCCAUAGACGAUACAUAAAUGAAAGGGCUGGAUGCCAGUAAAAUUUAUUUACAAAAGCAGGUGGUGCACAGGAUUUGGCAUGCUGGUUGAGGGAUUACCGCCCCCAGCAAGCAGUGGUUUUCAAAGUGUGGCCCUCAGACCAGCCAUAUCAAUAUCACCUGGAAACCUGUUAGAAAUGCAGAGUCUUGGGGCUCCUGGGUGACUCAGUCGGUUAAGCGUCCGCCUUCGGCUCAGGUCAUGAUCUCAGGAUCCUGGGAUUGAGUCCCAUGUCGGGCUCUCUGCUCAGCGGGGAGUCUGCUUCUGCCUCUGGCGCUCCCCCUAUUUGUGCGCGCUCUCUCUCUCAAAUAAAAUCUUUAAAAAAGAAAACGAAUUUCUAGAAUAGCACUUCUCUAGAUCAGUAGAGGAGAUGGGGGAGCGUCAGGGAACAGAGGUGGUCCCAGAAAGUGGAUUUAUUUCUACCACCUCGUGUAUUCUGAAGCCAGGCAUUUCUGGAAUUCAGAUUCAGGCCUUCUGAGCAGAACUGCCGAAUACCCAACCACAUUUGCAAAUGGGUGUUUCGUGUUUGAAAUAAAAGUGGGUUGAGAAUGUAUUGUCUGAUUCCAUUGAUAGAAAUAUCCAGCAUAAGCAAAUGCAUAGAGACAGAGAGCGGAUGGGGGUGGUUGCUAAUGGGCUCGAGGUUUCUUUUGGGGAGUGAUGGAAAUGUUCUGGAAUUACAGAGUGGUGAUGUUUACACAAGUCUACCGAGUGUACUAAAAACCACUGAUUUGUAAACUUUAGAAAGGUGGAUUUUAUGGAAUGUGAGUUAUAGCUCAAUAAAGCUGUUACUGAAUAAAAGGAUAUGGGUUGAGGCAUUCAGACUCGUUCUUGAAUUGCAAAGACUUACUGCGAGGAGGCCAACUGGGAAAGUCCCAUCCUCUGGGCAGUUCCUUAGGGCCCCGCAUUGUGUUUGUCACUGGAUUCUUCUGUUGGUACUGGGUCUGGCCCAUGGGCAGACAGCCUAGGGAGAGAGUCAGUGUUUGUUCUUCAGGGAGAAUCACUCCUGACAGCCGGGAGGCCGCUGGGCUGGGAGAGCCUCCUCCUGCAGGGUAGAGGAAGUAUGGGAGGCGAGGCAGGCAGGAACCCAGGCCUUGCUCCAAGAGCACUGGGAGCCAUGGAAGGUAUUAGAGCAGCAGCAGGGCAAGUGGGUUCAGGUAUGUGGGGAGGAAUUAAGGAGUUUUUGGCUCCUGGUGGCAAUAGGGAAAAGUCUGGGGAUCUGAGUGGUAUCCCUAAGGCACAGGAGGGCCCACCUGGUGCUGGUGCUUGGAGGGAGGAUGCUGGAGAUAGCCCCUGAGCUAAGAGUGUGGGUGCAGGUGAUCCUCCCCUCUCCCCAUUCCAUUUGGUGGCAGCUGGGGCUGAGCAGGGAUGAAAGUCCCAGCUUCUACAAGUGGAGGGCCUCCAGAAAGCUCCAUGAGGGAACAGGUAUGUCCAGGGUAGACCUGGCCCUUCUCUUUGUCCAGGUGUGAUUGGGGCCAUGAGCUGGCGCUGUCUCAACACACUGGGUCAGGGCUACAUGGAACAGGUGUGCUCAGGGCCCCUCCCCACGGGCCUCUGCCCCUUCCCAGCACCUCCCGACAAGCAUUUAGCUUGCUUUGCUCCUAAGUGCGUUCUCCCUUCUCUGCCCUAACUGCUUCUAGAGGAAAGGAGCAGCUAGCUGGAAAAAAACUCCCUUUUAAGAAUAAGAAUUGUUAAAGAAGUAGUUGUCUAGCUAAAUCAUUUGAGUUACUUUAACUUCAAUUUUCUCCUUUUUAUGAAACAUAAGUCAAAAUAAGGAUUUCACAAACAUGGGAAAGAUGUUGGUUGGCUUCUCUGGGAGGCAAGAUAAGAGUCUUUUUUCUUUUUUUACUUUAUCUUUUUAUUAAAGAUUUAAUUUAGAGAGGGAAAGCAUGAGCAGGAUGAGGGGCAGAGGGAGAAGGAAAGAAUCUCAAGCAGACUCCAUGCUGAGUGCUGAGCCGGACCUGGGGCUUGAUCUUACAACCCCGAGAUCAUGACCUGAGCGGAAAUCAAGAGUCGGAAGCUCAACCCACUGAGCCACUUGGGCACCCCUCCUUUUUCUUUCUUUCUUUCUUUUUUUUUUUUUAAUGCACAUCUAGCAAUUCCUAUUGGGAUUGAAUGUCAUAGUAUGAUUUUGGUAGCUCUUCAAGAAGUGACAAGAUAGCUGAAGGAUCAGUUGUCCCUCUCACUAACAAGGUAUGGAUGGAGAAUGUCUCUACGUGGAAGUAUGCUUACUGUUUGAAGGGAUUAUACAUUGUGUGUAGAAAUGCUCUUUGUGUUUAACAGAGAAGAAGGGUUUUUGUGUGUGUGUGUGUUUUUUUAAGAUUUUAUUUAUUUGAGGAGCACCUGGGUGGCUCAGUCGGUUAAGUGUCUGCCUUCGGCUCAGGUCAUGAUUCCAGAGUCCUGGGAUCAAGUCCCGUGUUGGGUUCCAUGCUCAGUGGGGAGUCUGCUUCUCCCUCUAACAUCCCCCCCCCUUGUGCUCUCUCUCUCUCAAAUAAUUAAAGAUUUCAUUUAUAUGAGAGAGAGCGCAUGAGCAGGGGUGGGGGGAGAGGGAGAAGGAGACAAAGGCUUGAGCUCAGGACCCCAAGAUCAUGACCUGAGCCAAAGGCAGACACUUAACCCGCUGAGCCACCCAGGAGCCCGAGAAGAAGGUAUUUUAAAAUUUAAGUCUCAUUGGGAGAUAUAGUGAAUAUCAGACAGCUCUGGGGGCGCCUGGGUGGCUCAUUCAGUUAAGCAUCUGACUCAUGAUUUUGGCUCAGGUCAUGAUCUCAGGGUUGUGAGAUGGAGCCCACCGUGUCCGGCUCUACACGUAGUGUGGAGCUCUGGGCUGAGCUGCGUGAACUUUGGGGACCCAAUUUCAGCAGUAGCAUUUAAAGCCAGACCUGCCCUUGUAAUUCAGCCCCAAGCUGUAGCUAUUCAUAAAUAGUAUUAAUCACCACGAAACUGUAACUCAUCAAAUGAAUCAUCUAAUUUUGCACAUAUUAAUAACCAUUCUGGUUAUGGGACUACUGCCAAAUUAAUUGUACUCUAGAGUAAAAACAGGUUGUGUGAUCAAAUAAACCGUCUCAAUGUUUUGUUCUUAAAAAUGGGUUGUUCUUGGGGUGCCUCAGUGGCUCAGUCAGUUAAGCGUCUCCCUUCGGCUCAGGUCAUGAUCCCAGGGUCCUGGGAUCGAGUCCUGCAUCGGGCUCCCUGCUCAGUGGGGAGUCAGCUUCUCCCUCUCCCUCUGCUGCUCCCCCUGCUUGUGCGUGCUCUCUCACUCUGUCUCUCUCAAAUAAGUAAAAUCUUAAAAAAAAAAAAAAAGGUGUUGCUCAUAAUCAUCCUAAGAUUGUAUUCGAAUUAUCUUUGUAAGUAAUGAGACUUUGUAUCUGUAGUUAUGACUUCAGUUAGUGUAGAGUAUAUAGUGUGCCGUAACAACUUGGUCAUAUAGUUACUUUUCUCAGAGGCAGGAUCUGUAGGGCAGAGGAUUUGAGGGAGCAAAGCUUGUAACAAGCCAGGUGGGAAGGGUGUGGACCAUCACCACUGCUCCUUGACUCCGCCAUUUCCUAGUAAGACCUGGUUUCACAUCUCCCCACCCCCCCCAAAAGUUAUUGAUUACAUGAUUAAUACUUUUGAAAUCAUGUUUCAGAUUUUAAUGGAGAAGCAACAUUUAGGUUUCAGGUAAACGAGGCUAGUUACAUGAGGCUAGUUACAUUCUGAGUUCUCCCUCUGAUCUUUUUAGUUCAACUGAUUAAAUAUUCAAGGAUCAUCGAUUUCUAGUAAGAGAAGGGAACAUCUCAGUUGGGAUACAUAAGCCCAGAAAUCUUCCAUUGAUUCUCCCAUCCCCCAGGAAUAAUGUAUUUGGACAAAAGUAAUUGCAUGAGCCCUUUCGUAGCUAGCUCGGGGAAUUCAGAGCUCCAGCAGGGGAACAAUGAUGGAAAGCCGGAGGAACAUUCUGGGUAUUGGAAUGCCAGCGAGUGGAUCAAUACCCCUGCUGUGCUUCUGUGAUCCCAGCACACAAGAAUUCUGCCCUUUUGAACUGUGCAGGGUCUUACUGAGCUGGCCCAGUCAGCGUGGCUGAUUUCCAUGAUUAGGACGCCUGCAUUACGGUUCGGACCCUGGGAAGUGUAGGCAGAGAUGUUCCAAGCCAAACGUUCCCCCAAAGUCUCCUGUGGGGCACAGCAUGGGCAGACGUGCACCAGGACCGCCGCCUUCCCAAAGAUUCUCAGCACUGCUUUCAGGAAAGGCGUGUUUCACUUCUUUUAGAGAGGUAUCUCUUUUGCAGAUGUGAUGGGGUAAUGGCAGGAAAGAGUUCUCCUAGAGGAAAGUUCACUAUUCUUAUAUAGGGAGCUUUAGAAAAAGAAGCCCUAAAUAUCGAAAUACAACAGUUAUGGAAUAAUGUGUGCUUGGGAUAGUUUUAAAGGAUUCUAGAAAAUUCCCAAGUUUUAAAAAAAUUCUCUUUGCUCUGUAUUAAAAAAAAGGGGGGGGAAGGAAUUGCGGGGAAUGUAUCUUAAACUCACUUUGUUCGCUGGGGUAAUUGCCCCGUGGCUUUUUCUCCCUAGUAGAGACCAUGUUCAUAGUAUAAUUAAUCCUUGCAUCCAGAAAACAGUAUUUGUACACAUAAUCCCGUGACAGCAUGAAAUUUUAACUUAACUUUUAAAGCUUUUUGGUUCUCACAAAAUGGUGAGCAUCUUUCAGUGUUCUGUUCCCAUAAACUGGACCGGGGAUAACAAAAUGAACGAGCUCGCAUUUUAGAGAAGGUGACACUCAUUAACUUCGGUCCUCUUCCCAUGUUUAUAUCCACACUGCUAAAAUGCUACCUGGCCCAGCUCAUUCUUGGGGAACUUGGGUGAAAGGAGAAUCUGCACAGCCCUUGGGAACAGGCGUUCUAUAACAUUUAUUUUCUUUCAGACGCCGUGCUCAAGCUGGGUGCGAGGUACUGUGAGCAGGGAGUGUGCAUGUGACAGAAAAAGUAAGGAGCUGCUUGGCUCAGUCAGUACCCCACAACCCUGUGCAUGCCACACACCUGCAGACCUUGAAAGCGGGGGGUGUGCUCAGGCUGCAUUUCCAUUAGGACCCCUGGUUGUAGUGUAAGCUCCCCAGGUGAUUUUUACCUUGACUUUUGGCCUCUUGCGGCUGCUCUUUUCCCUUUAGUGCGAGCUUCCCCCGGCUAGCAGCUGCAGGGCUUGACCACGUGGGCCCGGGUUCCACCAGAAUCAGCAUCCAUACUGCACUGCCCAGCACCUGACGCAUGAUAGGCACUCAGUGAAUGCGUAAUGCAACAACCUUUGUCAAGUUCAAGGGUACUUUCUUUUUCUUUUGGCAUGUUGGGUUUUCAACAUGGUCAUCAAAGCCACGUGUUUCGUGAGUAAUCUAGCCUUGUGCAUCAGUGCUCAACUUGGGUGACCCAGAUGAAAUAGGCUUAUGAAUAAUACAAGUUUAUUGUAACAUUUAAGUGGUAUUCCACAUAACUUCUUUGAUAGGUUUUGGUUUUUAAAAAAUCUGUUUCUAAGAAUAACUGUUUUCAGCUCUUGAUUACUUAAAAACAAAUAACAACAAGAAAAAUCAGUAUGUAUAUUCUCACCUUGCACGGAUGAGCAGGAUUUGGGAAAACUUACCUAGAGGCUCAAAUGCUUUUGAAAGGUGUUCAGUCGUGAAGCAUACUGAGCCUUAGGGCCUCUAUUGGGCCUUAAAACUCCAGUGAAAACUGACUCUUGGAAAUGUUACAGCAGGUUUUGGGUAGAUAGACAAAGGGGGAUGACUCCACAUUUUCCCAAAGAGAAUGGAUUGAAUCCUAGGCUGCAUAUUUGAAUCACCUGGGGAGUUUUGAAAACUAUUGAUGCCCAGGGUACACCCCAGACUAGUUAAGUCAGGGUCACAGGGUGGGUCCAGGUAUCAGUGAUUUGAUUUGAUUUUAUUUAAAGAUUUUAUUUGCCAGAGAGAGAGAGCACAAGCUAGGGGAGAGGCAAAAGAGAGAGAGAAAAGCAGGCUCGCCGCUGAGCAGGGAGCCCGAUGCUGAUGCCGGGCUCUAUCCCAGGACCCUGGGAUCGUGACCUGAGCCGAAGGCUGAUGCUUAACCCGCUGAGCCACCUAGGCGUCCUGGUAUCAGUGUUUUUUAAAGCUCACCGGGAGAUUCAAAUGUGUAAAUCAAGGUGGAGAAUCACAGUCUUACCUUUUUGCCUUAACUCGCGUUGGCAGGUUUACAACCGGGGACCAAGAGUUGUCUGCAGAGCUCGACAAGAAAAUUCAGUCCACCUGGCCAGAGGGCUCCCUGGGUGCCCUGCACGAGUGUGUUUUCUGAGCCCGAGGAAACCACGUGGGUUCCCUUUGGGCCAGGAUAGGGGAGCAGAGUCAAGCUGUGGCUGAGCUCUGGUGGCCAAGGGGGUUACAAGGAUACGAGGGGAUACAAGCCUUUGUGCUGAGGCUGGAGCUGAGGGAUUUUAAAGCAGAAAAAGAUUUGGGGUGAUGAACUGUGUUUUAUGGGGUACUGGCCACCAGUUUGUGGACCUGCCAGGUGCUAGGCUAAAUGCUUUGUUGCAAGGAUUCUCUAAGUGGGGUCUCUGAAUCACUAGCAUCAGCCUCCUCCAGGAGCUUGUCACAAUGCAGACUAUCAUGCCCUGCCCUGGGGUCCGGCAAGCUGUUUUAAGCCUGUCCAUGGUAUCCAGAUUGUAGGCUGGUUUUGGGGAACCUCAGCUUUGUAUGCUUUAUCUUAUUGAUUCCUUAUAUCUGCUCCUGCAUAUUACAUGUUAUAGCUGUUGGAAACUGAAGUUUGGGAAUCUAAGUUCAGAGUUGCAAAGUUGGUGGAUGUCAGAGCUGUGAACAGGUCUCUCAGCCAGGUGCCCUACCGCUCUGGAGGUAGGCUCCGGGACUUGGGACUGCUCCUGUGAAAAGCCCCUGAAUCCGAGCUGUUCACCUUUAUGCAUCUACUUCCAGAACUGACAAGAUGAAACAGAAGGUAAGGUAUGUAAGUGUAUGGGUAGCAAUUAGUGUUAAUAUAAUAGAUGUUUAGCUUUUAAAUAAGCGCUUAUCUGGACUUUGGGGUGGGGUGGGGAGAGGUUACUUUCUACCUUAUGCAUGACUGUAGUGCUUGGGUUUUUCUUAAAAUCAUGUCUGUGUAUUUAUAUAUACACAGACACAUCUUUACAAAUGGCAAAGCAAUACUUGUUUCCAUCUGAACAGGUAAACAAAAAACCUCAGCAGGGUGUGAAGGCUGUAGAAUUAUGUGGGAGUCAGGAAAGUGGAUCCUAACAGCUCCUUGUGCAUUGACCUAGGACCGUCUUUGAAACUCCGAGCGGUUUCCCAUGUGUAAACUUGGGAGCCUAACAGGGUGCUUUGUGUAAUGGGCUAGUGUUUUAUACAUGUUUUAGCCAUCCACGUAUGUUGCUAAUGGUGGUGCUGCAAGCAAUGCUAGCCGGAUUCCCCACCUCUUGGAUGUCCUCACAGUAGGUGCUGGUGGUUUGUUUGCAGAGGGCUGAUGCUGCAGGUGGAUGGUGGCAGUGGCCAGAGGCAUCCUUUGGCUGUGGAAUCCCGGGGAUGCCCAGUAUCCAUGAUGGGGUUACAGGGCCACCGUUUGUCCAGACAGCAGGUAGCUGCACACUCUUUGCUUCCCCCCCAGUCCUUAGGGGGACAAGAGCACAUUGAGGGUUCUAGGGCUAAAAGAUGGGGAGCCAGUCCUAGUACAAGAAACCUUUCUCAUAUGUGAAAACCGGGGCCAAGAAUCUCAGGGUUGAGAAAUUGCCUUUGGCCGAAGAUGAAUCAUAAAGGUAUUUUCUGAAGUUAGCAUCUGAGAUAGAAAGUAUGAUUCAGAUUGGAAAAAGAGUGUACACCUGCCCCAGCAUAAUUACCAGAAUGUGCUUAUUACAACAUUCUAGUUGGGGUAGGUUAGUUAUCGUGAAUGUUUUCAGGGUGAGAAAACCAAGGACUCAGACCCAGUGCAGUAACAUUCAGGUGUCAGGUUCAGUUGGGAGAACAUUUCAGCCCAGUGCUAUUGAAGGUCACUAGUUACUGGCUUCAGAAAAUCAUCAGAUAUUUUCCCAGUGGCAUGUCCAGGUGCUUCUGAGGGUUCGGACCUGCAAGAGGCAAGGGAGCCACUUUCUGCACUUGGUCAAGUGAGCAUGAUCGAGUUGGUAGAAAAUGGAAAGAGAAUCUCAAAUCCUGGGAUUAGGAAUGCUGUGCCUGCAUACAGCUCUCUGAGGGGUCUUUUAGAACCGUGCUGCCCCCGCCCCAACGAGAGUGCACGUACAAGCCAUCAGAGCUGGUGCUGGAGGCGGGCUCAGUAGUUAGGGAGCCCUUUAUUCAGAAGUGGGCACAGCUCGAGCCAGUGGGACCACCCUAGCAAGCUGGAAGAGCCAGCAGGAGCCCGUGUGCGGAGCAGAUGUGGGGCCAUAAACCGUGUGGAUUAGUGUGCGGCGGGGCCAUGAAUCACCAGGCUCCGCUGCUUGUCAGACGCUAACGUGUGGGGGGGGUGUGGGGCCGGGUAACCUGCUAGGAGCCUGCGUCACCCUGGCUUGCUGAUUUAUCAGGUGUUCGUUCCCCUGGCCAAGGUCAAGACGUCUGAUAUUUGAUGUCUCUUGUGUUGAUUUCUUAGUAGAAACCCACCUCAUAAUGGGUCAGAGGAAGGGUGAGGACUUACUGUCCUGGUUUCUGCACCAGCAGGUGGCCAGAUGCCACGGCUUUCGUGGGGCUGUGCGUGUGCAGAGGAGAGAAGAGGGAGUUGUCAGGACUCCUAGGACUGGUUUCUUUCUACUUACUAACAGAUGUGCUCGUUCUGGUGGAGGAAACCUUCGGGCAGUCCUUAAGACUCUGUGUGCUGAGAAAAGAUGCCUCUGAACGUGGCAACCUUAGAGAAAGCCUCACCUAGCACCCCUAAUGGUCUGCAGGUGCCAGCAAGUUCUCCGGCUGUGGCUGAGCUGGACCUCCAUCAGGGAGUAGGCGUUCUGCUGCUUGCGCUUUCUCAGCGCCCUGUGAGCGGCUCUCUGGCUUUCCCCCGAAGAUCAUGACUUGGCCUCUCCUCUGCAAGGCUGAGAAUCCCAUUCCCCGUUUUCCCAACCUUUCUGAAAUUUCUCUCCCCUAGGUCAUGACUGAGAACAUGGUUCAAAAUAUUGGGUGACGAUCUGCAAAUUAUUUUUGCUUCACUUCGUUGGAAACCUCUGUUCAUUCUUCUCCCCCUUCACCUUCCCCCCACCCCACCCCGCCGUGCCUCCCCAGGGACCUCAUUACAAACGUCCGAACUGAACGCUUGUUUCCUGAGACCUUGAAUACCAAGGAUUACUUGGAUUACUUGCAAUGAAGAGGCCCCCCCAUGCUCGUCUGUCUGUGGUUAUUGGAGCAGAGAAUGGGAGAGAGCCAGGGCGAUUUUGGUUGUGUGGACUAGCGGCCUCCGUGGAAAAGGGACUGCGUGGGUUUGCAGAUGGUGGGGGGUGGGGGUGGCUCAUACAGAUGCCGGGAGGCCUGUCGAUCUGUGUCUUUCCUGCAGGCUUAAUUCUCAAGCAUGUUUCCCCUAGGGGAUGUGAAAGGUGGCCCCGGGCUUACAUUCCACAGGCCUGCCUUCUGGAAGGAAAGGAAUCCUUAGGCCCUGGCAAGCCUCACAGACGUUCUUCUCUUGACUGAAGCUGCGCAUGAGUUUGCCCCCCAGAUACCUGGCAAUGUCUGGAGACAUUUUGGUUGCUGUAGCUUGAGGGGUAGGUGGCUACUGGUAUUUAGUGGGUGGAGACCAGGGAGGCCGCUCAGCACCCUACAGUGGACAGGACGCCCCAGCCCAGAAAACGAUCCGUUCCAUGUCCGUAGUGCUGAGUGGACAGCGGUGCCCUUGGAACCGUCCCUGUUUGCAGGGACCAUGUUCCCUAAGCAUGGGUUCAGUGGUGUGCCCUGGUUAUUGGGAGUGGGGCAGAAGAAGCAGGAGAGUGAUGGGAAAACCUGCAGGGGAGAGCUGGUUUCCUCAGGAGGAAGGAAUGCUGGCAGACAAGGCAUCUUUUCGAGGUAGACAGUAGGUGUGGGCCCCUGGAGGCACUCCGUGUGUGCUCUCCAGAGGAGCUAUAGUGGGUGUUCCAUCCAUGCUUGCUGACGUGUUUGUGAGUCCUCGAGGCAUCUGGUUCUGAAAGCAGGGAGGGUCACCCAGCAUUUAUUGCUCUGGCCAGGAUCUGAGAGGAGAUCAGGCAAGGGUGGUUGAGCCCUUCGUGAAGUCCUGUGCUUGGGCAUUCCUUCUAGCCCCCUCUGUCAGCCUUGCUUCUGCUUGUGCAAACCUUGUCCCUCCCUCUCUCACUGUCUUAGCCUCCUUCUCUUUCCCUACCUGGCUGGUAGGUCUCCUUUCUUUAGCUCACACCCCCUGUAUGUCCUCACGUCCUCUGCAGACCCUGACAACAUCACAGCAAGCAGGGACUUCUGGUUACACACCCUUGUGCGAUGGGGAAAAUGCUGAAGUCCACAGGGACGAUGCACACUCCCCAAGGUCACACAGUUGCUUUAUGACCCAAUAAUGUCUAACUGAACCUCAGUGCCUUAAAGUCUGUUUUGGGCUGUGUCUUUAAAAACAAUUAAUAAGGGGUGCCUGGGUGGCUCAGUCGUUAAGCAUCUGCCUUCGGCUCAGGUCAUGAUCUUAGAGUCCUGGGAUCGAGCCCCACAUCAGGCUCCCUGCUCGGCGAGAAGCCUGCUUCUCCCUCUCCCACUCCCCCUGCUUGUGUCCCCUCUCUCGCUGUGCCUCUCUCUGUCAAAUAAAUAAAUAAAAUCUUUAAAAAAGGGCGCCUGGGUGGCUCAGUUGGUUAAGCGACUGCCUUCGGCUCAGGUCAUGAUCCUGGAGUCCCGGGAUCGAGUCCCGCUUCGGGCUCCCUGCUCAGCGGGGGGUCUGCUUCUCCCUCUGACCCUCUUCCCUCUUGUGCUGUCUCUCAUUCUCUCUCUCAAAUAAAUAAAUAAAAUCUUUAAAAAAAAAUCUUUAAAAAAAAUUAAAUAAAAAUAAAAACAAUAAGAACGAUUAUAAAAUUACUACUUCUAAGGAGUCAUAAAAGCAAUGGCUGUGGAUACUGAUUUUUACAAUCAUGCCAGCCAGACUUUCAGAGAUUAAUACAGAAGUAAAUGCAGAUUUGUUUCCUUAUCACAUAGUACUUUUUCCAAUUAAAUUUUGUGUGCUGACGUUGUGAAAUUAUAGGGAUCACAUUUUUUUAAGACUUUCCGAAGAGCAGUUUUAGGUUUCUAAUAAAACGGAGAGAAAAGUUGAGUGGUUUCCCACACCUCCUGUGUCCACACAUGCGUAGCGUCCCCCCAGUAUCGCAGGUACUUACUGGAGUGGGACGCUUGUUACAGCGGAUGAACCUGCACACACCCCUCAUCAUCACCCAGAGUCCCUAGUUUACUUCAGGAUUCACUCUUGGUUUGCACCUUCUGUGCAUUUGGACCAACAUAUAAUGACCUGUAUCCGUCUUGGUGGUGUCAUACGGAGUAUUUCCAGUGCCCUAAAAAUCCUCUGUGCUGUCUCUUCAUCCCUCUACCUUCCCUGGCAACCACUGAUCUUUUUACUGUCUUCGUAGUUUUGACUUUUCCAGAAUGUCCUGGAGUUGGAAUCCUACAAUAUGUAGCUUCUUCAGACUGGCUUCUCAGUAUUCUGCAUUAAGGUUCCUUCAUGUCUUUUCACGAUUUGAGAGUUCAUUUCUCUUUAGUGCUAAAAACACGUGGAGCAGAAAAUUUUAUGUUACUACUUAUGGAAUGAAAUUUUGAUUUUUUUUUUUUUAAUGUGACAAUUUUUUGUCCUCCUUCCUGGAUUGCUGAGUGGCUUCUCUCGUGUCUACAGUUGGUACUGCACAAUAUCUCUGAAAAUAAUGACCCCUAAAUAGUAUCACAUCGUGAGUGUUGGGUACCAGAUUCUCUGCCAAGUGUAGACCUAAAUUAUCCACUUAAUCCCACAGCAACUCUUAGUUAGGUACUGUUAUUCCUAUUUAUAAAUAAGGAAGCUGGAGAUGAGCCCGUAAAUAGCUAAUCCCAGGCUAUAAGCUCGUAAAUGGUUGAUGCAAGUCGAGGCUCUCUCAUUCCAGGCCCUGUGCACUUUGGACCCCAUGCCGGCUGUGGUCAUGGCUGUGUUUUAACGUUGUAAUGUUGGCAUUCUAGAGAGCAGGGCACAGGCUGAAGAUCUCUGAGCAUACCAUGUGGUGGUCUAGACCACUUUCAAAACCUUCUUGAGAGUUGCUGUCAGGAUUGAACAAGGAUCACUCCAGAAAAUGCUCUUAUAAAUUCAUUAGAGGUUUUAUUCAAAUAUGUUUCUACCUGAGAUGCAAAGUCUGUUCCCAUCCUUUCAGUCCAAUGCUUUGUUUAGAAUGUUCACUAAAAUUGCCCCUUGUCAAAAAAAUAAAAUGAAAUUGCCCCUUGUCUUCAAGGAUAGCUGUCAGCUCUGUUCUGUGGUACCUCAUCCUCCACCUCCUCUCUGGGUUUGUGCUCCUGUCUGUACUGGUUGAUCUUGGUCCUUAUCUAUCUUGAUAUUCGUCCCCUGGAACCUUCUCUUGUGUGCAUUCAGUCCUGUCUGGUCUCUAGACACCUGCCAGGCACUCCUGCCCCUCAGCUCCACCUAUUCUGUAAUUUCCUGUUGCUUUCUAGCCACACACCGUAGCACGAGGCGGGGGGGAAGGAGGGGUGGACUUGGCUGUGGUUCAGUGCUUUGCAUUCGUCCAUCUGGUAGACGACCUUGCCUAUGAAAUCUGUUCUUUUUCUUUCUGGAAGAUGUUCAUGGGGUAGCUGUAAAUGCCCACCUAGGCGCUGUCAGGGUUGGGGGAGGGGUGGCAAGGGCUGGAGGUCCAGUUUGGUGGUAGGUUGCUGCUUCAUGGUGCUGGAUUAGCGAAGAUGGCCGAGGGAUGGCAGAGGCGGGGAAGGGAGGUCAUGAAGGAAGAAGACAACAGCUGGGAGAGGAACAGCUCAUGAACACUGGAGAAGUGGCCAGAGGAGAGUGGAAACGAGACACGGAGGACAGACCGUGGUCUAGCCCUUGUGAGUGAAGGGGUCCCGAAGGAACCUCUCCCCUGUGAGCUGCUGGGAUACUUCACCUUGCUUUCCUUGGGAUUCCUUGCCCCUGCAGAUAGGCGGGUGAUGUGCCUGGUUUGACUGAAACUGCCUUUGAGCCUCUUUGUGGGUGGGGGUGGGGGGAGGGAUAAGAUGGGCAUCAUCCAGGAAGGAAAGGGAGCUGUGGGACGCAGGGCGCAGAUAUGCUGGAGGUUUUCCCGCUAGAGACGAGCAGAUAUCCCCAAACAGCUGCGUGCCAUCAGCAGACACGCAGCAAACCCUGCGUUUCCUGCCCCACAGCCUGGUGAGGUCGGGGAGCCAGGCACUCGCUGGUCCUCCUCCUCCUCGGUGUGGAGCUGACGGGCAGGUAGCUCCGAGCUGGGUUUGUUCUGACUUCAGGCAGCACCCGCCAGCAGAAGAACCGGCCCUGUGUGCCACCCCUGUGUCCUCAUUGGCCAGUCAAGGUCGUCGAGUCAAGGUCGGCUCUGCUCUGGAAAGUAGGUUUUAUCCUAUUAACCCUGGGAACAGCUUGCUGACGGGGAGAAACACAAUAGCAAUAUAUACUGUAAACAUGGUGACCUAGUAUUUUUGUUUUAGAGCUGGGAGUCGGGAAAUUUGACUUGAAGGGCCACUUUUUUUCUCUUGACCUGUGCUUUGCAGUUGCUUGGAGGAGAGGGCCUGAAGGCCGUAGGAAGAAGGGGCGUGUUGUGUAUAAGCACACGGGGGCGUGUGUGUGGCCCGUGGUUUCUCCCCCGUUCCUCCGCUGCCCCUUUCCCUCCUCCCCUCAGGUCCCACGUCUUCCGUGCCCUGUAUCUAUUUCUUGGCUGGUGAGUUCAGGCAAAACCCAGCUGUUGCUGGCCUGUGUUUCCUCAUCUGUAAACGGGGCUGGGAAGCCCUAAGUUGCAGCACUGCUCCUGGGAUCCGAGGGCCUGACAGGCGGAUGGUGCUCAGCAGAGUGGGGCUGGGAAUGACUGAGGACGUCCAAUGCUCGUCUGUGUCUGCCUCCCCUCACUUUUCUCCUCUGUGUGCUGUCUGCUCCCUUUGUUCCUCUCUCCCUCCCCGCCCGCCCCCCCCUUCCUGUUUUCUUAGACAGGUUUAGGCAGGUGUCCGAUUUCCCUACUAUAAAAUUCACCCAUUCUGAGUGUGCAUCCCAGGGACUUCGUAAACUCAGACUUAGGGCUCCGUCGUCACGAUCCAACUUUUUGGACCAUUUCUAUCACCCCCAAAAGAUCCUCUGUACCCUGUAUACCUCCCUGUUCCCACCUCAGCCUCGGGCAGCCUCAGAUCUUCUGUCUCGAACAGAUUUGCCUAUUCUGGGCAUUUUCUAUCAGUGGGAGUCCUGCCUGCCUCCUGCCUUCUGUAUCUGGCUUCAUUCACUCAGUAAUACCUUGUGAAAGUUCAUCCCUCCUGUCCUGUCUCAAUACUGCAUUCGUUUUCUUGCUGUUCUUGUUUCUUACUGUUCCACUGUGUGGACAGGCAUUUGUGUGUCUGCUCACCAGCUGAUGGCCACGCCCAUGGCCUCCCCACGCUCCGGUGCACCCCUGUGCAGGUGGGUCCCCCCCUAUUCCAGGCACUCCGGAGAGGUGGCCAGGCUCUGUGGCCUGGGGGGACGGGUCACUUAAGUCCAUGGAAUAGCCAUUCCAUCACUGGUAAGCAGGGAUGGGGGGUUUUCUCGUAAUGUUUCAGGAUUGUUAGAAAAUCUAAUAAACCAAAUAUCUGAAAAAUGUGUCUCAUGUCGUUUCUCGCUGACCUCAGGAAGUAACUCUAAAUUCUUGUAAUGUAGAGAAAAAUCCCCAGCUUCAUCAAACUGACAACUAAAUGGAGAGCGGCUUCAGGAGGCAUAUUCUCCACGUAGUUUUUUCUGAAAAUGUGUGGUGUGCACAUGUCUCGUCUUGCGCUCGUGAAACGUGGAAUGUGUGAUGGACUUAGCAAGAAAAGCCCUGUUGCGGUAGAGACCAGCUUAAGGCGUCUGUGUGAUGGCAGGCCGCGUCCUGAGACCGAGCUCUGCGUUCUGUGUAGCUCUGUCUUCUUCGUGGGGUGCAGCUGGCAUGAGGUGGCCAGAUGCUUGCUGCCCUGUACCCCUGGGGCUCCGGCUCCUUCCUCAUGGGGUCCUGGAUGCGGCAGGGUGCCCAAGUCCUCCUCGGCCCCGCGCUGGGGGGGGCGGAUGCCUUGCAUAGGGCUCAGCAGUUGGUCCUCGCAGGCCGCUGGGUGACGGGGGUCACCGUUGGUCAGUGGAAGAGCUAGAGUUGACCCGUCCCUUGCACCUCCGUACGGAGUAGGGCAUGGAGUAAGGGCAGGAUUUCAGUACAGGAGCGGGCUUCUCGCUGACCCCCAGGACGGCGGGCCCUUCCGAAGCAGUUUGCCGCGACCGGUGUAUCUUCCUGCAGUCCGCAGUUCUCAGCGGGAGCCUGGGGAAUUACGAACCCCACAACAUAGAUCAAGUCUUGACUACUAGGAGUCGAAGUAGUUUGCACAAAAGCAUCUAGGAUGGCAAACAGUGCAUCAUGGUAGAUCCUUUGUUUCUUCUCAAACUUACAGUGUAACCUGGGGAUUUACGAACCCCACAACAUAGAUCAAGUCUUGACCACUAGGAGUCGAAGUAGUUUGCACAAAAGCAUCUAGGAUGGCAAACAGUGCAUCAUGGUAGAUCCUUUGUUUCUUCUCAAACUUAUAGUGUAACCAUAAGCCCCCCCACGGUUAAACGAGCCAGAAGGAAACAAAAAACCUUAAAAGAAUUUUAAGAUGGCUUCCCCUCCAUGCCCGGACUUAAUUUGGAAAACAUUUGCAUGUAGUGGUCAUAGAGGGCUAGCACUUCAUCCCGAACCAGCCUCCGCUCUGUCAUGUGGGUACCAGAGGGGUCCUCCACUAAAGGGGCUAUGAUUAGCCUUCCACGGAAGGAAAUCAGAAACCAGACAACAGGACUGGAUGCGUUAAAACCGUGGCAUCCUUUUCUUGACUGAAAUUUCACCAGGUGGCUCUUGCUGUUGAUAGACCUCAUGGAGCAGUAUCCAGUUACGUCGAAUAUUAUCUGUCACUUCCUAAGUGGUAUACUGGGCCCCAGCAACCUGUCACCCACAUUUCCUUACCCAGUCUGGAGGGAAA